This 69-nucleotide transfer RNA is filed under the name Dictyocaulus viviparus (bovine lungworm). It matches the Rfam family "tRNA". From Rfam's summary of the family: Transfer RNA (tRNA) molecules are approximately 80 nucleotides in length. Their secondary structure includes four short double-helical elements and three loops (D, anti-codon, and T loops). The record is from Rfam by way of RNAcentral. Lineage: Eukaryota; Metazoa; Nematoda; Chromadorea; Rhabditida; Metastrongylidae.
ACCUCAGAAACCAAGAAAGCAGGGCAGACCGGAUAUCUGUAAGUGCGGGUUCGAGUCCCGCCUGAGGUU